RNAcentral lists this ribosomal RNA (506 nucleotides) under uncultured bacterium. RNAcentral describes it as "partial 16S ribosomal RNA". It matches the Rfam family "Bacterial small subunit ribosomal RNA", at positions 29 to 523 of the family's 1533-position model. The record is from RNAcentral.
AGUGAACGCUGGCGGUAGGCCUAACACAUGCAAGUCGAACGGCAGCACAGAGGAGCUUGCUCCUUGAGUGGCGAGUGGCGGACGGGUGAGGAAUACAUCGGAAUCUACUCUGUCGUGGGGGAUAACGUAGGGAAACUUACGCUAAUACCGCAUACGACCUACGGGUGAAAGCAGGGGAUCUUCGGACCUUGCGCGAUUGAAUGAGCCGAUGUCGGAUUAGCUAGUUGGCGGGGUAAGGGCCCACGAAGGCGACGAUCCGUAGCUGGUCUGAGAGGAUGAUCAGCCACACUGGAACUGAGACACGGUCCAGGCUCCUACGGGAGGCAGCAGUGGGGAAUAUUGGACAAUGGGCGCAAGCCUGAUUCAGCCAUGCCGCGUGGGUGAAGAAGGCCUUCGGGUUGUAUAGCCCUUUUGUUGGGAAAGAAAUCCAUCUGGUUAAUACCCGGGUGGGAUGACGGUACCCAAAGAAUAAGCACCGGCUAACUUCGUGCCAGCCGCCGCAGUAA